RNAcentral lists this ribosomal RNA (1321 nucleotides) under uncultured bacterium. Its description in RNAcentral is "bacterial SSU rRNA". It matches the Rfam family "Bacterial small subunit ribosomal RNA", at positions 28 to 1387 of the family's 1533-position model. The record is from RNAcentral.
GAUGAAUGCUGGCGGCGUGCCUAACACAUGCAAGUCGAGCGGCAGCGCGGGUAGUUUACUACCUGGCGGCGAGCGGCGGACGGCUGAGUAACGCGUGGGAACGUGCCCCAAAGUGAGGAAUAACUGCCCGAAAGGGUGGCUAAUGCCGCAUAUGAUCUUCGGAUUAAAGUCUUCGGACGCUUUGGGAGCGGCCCGCGUCGGAUUAGGUAGUUGGUAGGGUAAUGGCCUACCAAGCCGACGAUCCGUAGCUGGUCUGAGAGGAUGAUCAGCCAGACUGGAACUGAGACACGGUCCAGACUCCUACGGGAGGCAGCAGUGAGGAAUCUUCCACAAUGGGCGAAAGCCUGAUGGAGCAACGCCGCGUGCAGGAUGAAGGCCUUCGGGUUGUAAACUGCUUUUAUAAGUGAAGAAUAUGACGGUAACUUAUGAAUAAGCACCGGCUAACUACGUGCCAGCAGCCGCGGUCAUACGUAGGGUGCAAGCAUUAUCCGGAGUGACUGGGCGUAAAGAGUUGCGUAGGUGGUUUGUUAAGUAGGUAGUGAAAUCUGGCGGCUCAACCGUACAGGCUAUUACCUAAACUGGCAAACUCGAGAAUGGUAGAGGUAACUGGAAUUUCUUGUGUAGGAGUGAAAUCCGUAGAUAUAAGAAGGGAACACCAAUGGCGUAGGCAGGUUACUGGACCAUUUCUGACACUGAGGCACGAAAGCGUGGGGAGCGAACGGGAUUAGAUACCCCGGUAGUCCACGCCGUAAACGAUGGAUACUAGCUGUUGGAGGUAUCGACCCCUCCAGUAGCGAAGCUAACGCGUUAAGUAUCCCGCCUGUGGAGUACGGUCGCAAGACUAAAACAUAAAGGAAUUGACGGGGACCCGCACAAGCGGUGGAUUGUGUUCUUUAAUUCGAUGAUAAACGAAGAACCUUACCAGGGUUUGACAUCCCUUGAAUUAUGCCGAAAGGCGUGAGUGCUUUAUUGAACAAGGUGACAGGUGAUGCAUGGCCGUCGUCAGCUCGUGUCGUGAGAUGUUUGGUUAAGUCCAUCAACGAGCGCAACCCUUGUCUUCAGUUGGAUUUUUCUGAAGAGACUGCCCCGGCAACGGGGAGGAAGGAGGGGAUGAUGUCAGGUCAGUAUUUCCCUUACAUCCUGGGCUAGAAACGUAAUACAAUGGCUAGUACAAUGCGCGGCGAAGCCGCGAGGUGAAGCAAAUCGCAUCAAAGCUAGUCCCAGUUCGGAUAAGAGGCUGAAACUCGCCUCUUUGAAGUCGGAAUCGCUAGUAAUCGCAGAUCACGCAAGCUGCGGUGAAUACGUUCCCGGGUCUUGUACU